UACGGAGGGGGCUAGCGUUGUUCGGAAUUACUGGGCGUAAAGCGCGCGUAGGCGGACCUGCAAGUCGGGGGUGAAAGCCCGAGGCUCAACCUCGGAACUGCCUUCGAUACUGCGGGUCUCGAGUCCGGGAGAGGUGAGUGGAAUUCUUAGUGUAGAGGUGAAAUUCGUAGAUAUUAGGAAGAACACCAGUGGCGAAGGCGGCUCACUGGCCCGGUACUGACGCUGAGGCGCGAAAGCGUGGGGAGCAAACAGG
Molecule: ribosomal RNA, 253 nt
Filed under: uncultured bacterium
Lineage: Bacteria
Description: partial 16S ribosomal RNA
Rfam family: Bacterial small subunit ribosomal RNA
Source: RNAcentral